Molecule: long non-coding RNA, 461 nt
Filed under: Lathyrus oleraceus (garden pea)
Lineage: Eukaryota; Viridiplantae; Streptophyta; Magnoliopsida; Fabales; Fabaceae
Description: Pisum sativum (pea) long non-coding RNA (PSAT_LNC005091)
Source: RNAcentral
CAAACUUUGCCAUUGACGAUGCUUUGCAAAAACAGUCUCCUAAAUGGCCUUCCAGUUGUGAAAUGAUGGUUGAAAUAGGCUCUCAAUGUUGUUUAGAUGAUGAAUGAACAAUGGCAAGGCUUGGUUCUUUGAGAGUUUUUGACAGAUUUUGAAAAAUGAUGAAAAAUGAGUUUUUUUUUUUGAGAGAGUGCAAGAGCAAGGUUUUUUUUCUUUUUUUCUUGUGGUUGCUUCUAGGGUUUCUAAGUGACAGAAAAUUGAUGAUAAACUCUGCUAUGUGAUUGCCCAAAGCAUGGUUCAUGGAUAUGUGGGAUAUGGUGGGUGAAAAGUGUACUUUUCUUCCCAUUUUCAAGCAACUAGGCAUGGCUACAUGAUGGGUGCAAGUACUUGCACGAAUUUGACUUUGUACAUGCUCAAAAUCUGGUUUCUAAACAUAUUUGGAUAGUGGGAAUGGUUGGAAAUCA